AGCGGCGGACGGGUGAGUAACACGUAGGAAUCUGCCCGGUAGAGGGGGAUAGCCCGGAGAAAUCCGGAUUAAUACCGCAUACACCUUACGAGGAAAAGCAGGGGAUCUUCGGACCUUGCGCUAUCGGAUGAGCCUGCGUCGGAUUAGCUAGUUGGUGGGGUAAAGGCCCACCAAGGCGACGAUCCGUAGCUGGUCUGAGAGGAUGAUCAGCCGCAUCGGGACUGAGACACGGCCCGAACUCCUACGGGAGGCAGCAGUGGGGAAUAUUGCACAAUGGGGGAAACCCUGAUGCAGCUAUGCCGCGUGUGUGAAGAAGGCCUUAGGGUUGUAAAGCACUUUCAGCGAGGAGGAAAGGGUGCAGGUUAAUACCCUGUAUCUGUGACGUUACUCGCAGAAGAAGCACCGGCUAACUCCGUGCCAGCAGCCGCGGUAAUACGGAGGGUGCAAGCGUUAAUCGGAAUUACUGGGCGUAAAGCGUGCGUAGGCGGCUAUCUAAGUGGGAUGUGAAAGCCCCGGGCUCAACCUGGGAACUGCAUCCCAAACUGGGUAGCUAGAGUAUGGCAGAGGAGUGUGGAAUUUCCUGUGUAGCGGUGAAAUGCGUAGAUAUAGGAAAGAACACCAGUGGCGAAGGCGACACUCUGGGCUGAUACUGA
Molecule: ribosomal RNA, 653 nt
Filed under: uncultured bacterium
Lineage: Bacteria
Description: bacterial SSU rRNA
Rfam family: Bacterial small subunit ribosomal RNA
Source: RNAcentral